UGAGAAGCUUCGACCAAGGUUCGAUUCGAGCGCAGCGAGAAAGCGUUGCCGCAGGCAACGACCCGAAGGGCGAAGCGCGCAGCGCUGAGUCAUCCUUCCCCCACCACCA
RNAcentral lists this small RNA (109 nucleotides) under Salmonella enterica subsp. enterica serovar Heidelberg. RNAcentral's name for it is "partial RtT sRNA". It matches the Rfam family "RtT RNA", at positions 23 to 130 of the family's 130-position model. Rfam says of the family: This family represents a bacterial cis-regulatory element known as RtT RNA. The exact function of RtT is unknown although it is thought that it may be involved in changing the cellular response in relation to amino acid starvation. RNAcentral also lists the same sequence under 7 other names. Lineage: Bacteria; Pseudomonadati; Pseudomonadota; Gammaproteobacteria; Enterobacterales; Enterobacteriaceae. The record is from RNAcentral.